Colossoma macropomum (tambaqui) is the source of this 804-nucleotide long non-coding RNA. RefSeq lists it as uncharacterized. Lineage: Eukaryota; Metazoa; Chordata; Actinopteri; Characiformes; Serrasalmidae. The record is from RefSeq and is a predicted model, not a curated record. The transcript has 3 exons.
CCCUCUGUCAGCUUCUCACCUUGUGCUAUUCGUGGGUUUGGAAUACGUUUACUGCAAAACAUACAGAGAUGUUUACCAUGAGCAAAACUCUGAUGUGGCUUGAAGACGUACGCUGAAUCGAAGGAAUAGAGAGUGCAGAGGGAGCUUGGUCAUAGCCCAGGGAGAAGAGAGCAGAGCUGGCCAAGUGAGGCUGACGCAACAUGAGUGGUGGGCAGACACAAUGCUAGGCCUCUGAACCAGAUGAGAGUGGGGCACCUCUUCACAAUAUGGCCCUGCACCCAGGAGCGACAUGGGGACAGACGCUUCAGAAGCUUGAUAUAAACACCCCACCAGCAUUAAAAUUCUUGCAUGUCUAAUGCUGGGCUUGCAGCAGACAGAGCCUGGCCAGAGGGUGUGUGAACUGGGCAGUAAUAUUCAGCACGGACUUUUUGAUUUAUUAAUCUGUGUAGACUUCAUUUGAUAUUGCAGCAUGGAGCAUUGAUAUUUGGAGGCCUAUGUUUGAGACCUGGCCUCACUGGUUCUGGACAGAGCUGCUCAGGGCACUGUAUAUGUGUCAUUGUGAGGCAUUCACAUAUUUGCUAACUGCAACAACAGACAAAGCCUUAGUCACUUCUAAAAGUAAUAAUUUUUUACAUUAUUAGGUCUACAAAAUUUCAGAUUUUUUUUAUUUUCCUGGUCUACAAAACUAGGGUCAUGAAUGGUGAGUUGUCUUUUCCUGAAAAUGUAACAGAAUUAACCCUUAGAAGUCUUACUACUCUCAUUUUGCUAUACACUUUCAAAGUAAUUAAAUAUUCAUGUGAUUAA